This 378-nucleotide ribosomal RNA is filed under the name uncultured Gemmatimonadota bacterium. RNAcentral describes it as "bacterial SSU rRNA". It matches the Rfam family "Bacterial small subunit ribosomal RNA", at positions 521 to 896 of the family's 1533-position model. The record is from RNAcentral. Lineage: Bacteria; Pseudomonadati; Gemmatimonadota.
UAAGACGGAGGGCGCAAGCGUUGUUCGGAAUUACUGGGCGUAAAGGGCAGGUAGGUGGUCUGUUAAGUCUUCUGUGAAAAUCCGGGGCUCAACCCCGCGAAAUGCAGGUGAAACUGGCAGACUUGAGACCGGUAGAGGCUAGCGGAAUUCCUGGUGUAGCGGUGGAAUGCGUAGAUAUCAGGAAGAACACCUGUGGCGAAGGCGGCUAGCUGGGCCGGUUCUGACACUGAACUGCGAAAGCGUGGGGAGCAAACAGGAUUAGAUACCCUGGUAGUCCACGCCGUAAACGAUGGGCACUAGAUGCUGGGCAUAUAGACGUGUUCAGUGUCGUCGCUAACGCAUUAAGUGCCCCGCCUGGGGAGUACGGUCGCAAGGCUG